GUUCUUUCUGUAUGACUCAGCAAGUUCUACACUUACUUAGUGCCUCUUAGUGCUUUUGUAUCCCAAGUAAAUUCUUUUUAAAAGCCUUGCACUUGUGUUUGCUCUGAAAUCCACAUGGACAUACAGAACUCUGCAACAAGAUGAACCAAUUCAGAACUCCAGCAGCCCUCAUUCUUUCCAGGAAUGCACAGACAACUGGAAAUGAUUCAAACAAGGAUUUGACCUCUUUCUGAAAGCAAGUGGAGCUGUUUAGAAGGAGGAUGAGCAAAGACUACAUCUCCCCGAAAGUAGUGCUUGCUCUCUUGGUGAAGGAGCUACUGUGCCUAAGAACACAUCACAAGAAAGAUCAUGAAGAGCUCAAAAGUAAGAUGGUUACAAUGAACAUGGGCAGGAAAAGUGAAGGAUACUUACCAUAUACUUACUCAGGAACCGAACUUCUCAGGCUUGUAGACUGAAGAACUGGGCCAAUUUGAGGUAGGUUCCAGACUUUGCCCAGACUAACAAAAGAAAGGUGGGGAGAGGGAAAUGCGGAAAAACUCUUCCAUUGGAAAAUAUGAGGAAUGAUGCAUCGUAGAGAUACACAAUGUGGCCAAGGCAUAAAGUGGAUUAAGCAAUACAAUGACUUGCACGAAUGUGGAAGAUGACUUUUCAGCAAUGUAUUAGUGAGAUGACAGAAGAAGAAAAGCCGUAGUGGGUCUUGCUUCUCAGCAAUGCUUUCCACGUCAAGAUUAAAAGGCUUGAAACAGAUUUAGCAGUUGACUUGCUGCUAAGAAUGGCAGUGUCCCUUGAAGCAUCUUUGCUUUAACACCAAGCAAAGUGUAUGGCUCUCUGAGAUCCUAUACAGCACUCAAAAUGUUGCAAAACAGAAGUACCUUCUCCAAGUCCAACUUGAUGUUCCAGAAGUCAGCUCUAUAUGCAUGCAAAAUCUGUGAACAACACUUUGGUGGUGGGGAAAGACCCACUCAACUUUAACAGCUCUUCUGUUAUUUCUUUCAUUAGUUUUCUUCAAACAUGUCAAAUAUCUGAAGCUUGUCAUUUCCACACAUUAGUUUGAGCUUUUGUUUGGUGUCAAACGGAAAUGUGCUUCAGUGUUUCAUUGCUGUUCUUUUUCUUGACAAAAGAAUAAACGAUCCCUUCUCGACCUCCAUUUCUGACCACAUUCUUGCAAUAAUUGUCCUUGAGCUGAGGGCAGAGUUGCCAACUACGGACUUCUAUAGAGGAUAUGCAACUAUUUGGCGCAUCGAACAACUUUUUUUGCAUUAGGAGGAAUAGAGACUAUUUUGGGGACCAAAUGUUUUUUGCAUGUGUUGUGGUGUCCGAAGUUCUGGGACACCACAACACAUUUUGUUUGCUCAGAACACUUUGCUCUCAUGAGCAGCUUCUUUUCCUCCAUCUCCUUCCCCUUCCUACGGACCUACGGAAAGCCAGAGUGGAGGUUCUGCUUCAUUAUCAGGUUGCAGCUCCACAUGAUGCAGGAGCAUGGAUAGGUGGACCUGGCAGGUACAGCUUGCUUCUUUCAUGUGGUGGCAGUGGUGUGGCAGUGAGACGUUAGCAGUUAGCUGACUAACUUUAGCAGCUACCCCUGCUAACUGUGUAAAAAGGCACCUUUCAAAGUGUUGGAUUUUGUCUAUUUAUCAUGGGGGGAGCAACCAACCCCAGCACAGCAUUCCUUCAGUGGCUGGUGCUGGUGUUACCUGGUGUUUCUUUUUAGAUUGUGAGCCCUUUGGGGACAGGGGAGUAGCUUAUUAUUUAUUUUUCUUUGAAAACCCCCUGUGGAACCUUCUGUUGAAAAACUGUAUAUAAACGUUUAUAGUUGUAGACAACAGGAAGCGAGUGGGAGACCAUGCAUGGACCAUUGAGCCAGCAUGCAAGGAGGAUGGCCCCUUUUAUAGGGACUUCUGUUUAGAAUUAAUAUCUCCACUGCUGGCUCCUUUUCCAGGAAAUUCGCCUAGUCAACAAGUGGCUUUCCUGCUUGAGGACAGUAUUCCUGCCAUCACUCGAAAAAUGGCGGGCUUUUGUGCGGCAGCUCGAAGAUUGCGUCAGUUUUUAAUUAAUAAUUCUAGUGCUGCUCUAUAACCUUUAAGAUAUAAUAUUGUUGGUGGGUUAGACUGUUGAUUUGUUAUCUUUUUAACCAUUAAUUUAUAUUUUAAUUGUAUUUUCCCCCUUGUUGUGCUGGUCAUAGACUGUAAUAAACUUUGAUUGAUUGAUUGAU
Hemicordylus capensis (graceful crag lizard) is the source of this 2212-nucleotide long non-coding RNA. RefSeq lists it as uncharacterized. The transcript is spliced from 5 exons. NCBI's taxonomy places the organism in Eukaryota, Metazoa, Chordata, Lepidosauria, Squamata, Cordylidae. The record is from RefSeq and is a predicted model, not a curated record.